Tinamus guttatus (white-throated tinamou) is the source of this 150-nucleotide non-coding RNA. The record is from RefSeq and is a predicted model, not a curated record. NCBI's taxonomy places the organism in Eukaryota, Metazoa, Chordata, Aves, Tinamiformes, Tinamidae.
GGAAGAACUGCAAGGACCCGGAGGGAUUCAAAGUAGAGGCUACUUUUUCUUCAGGCCACGCAAUGGAAGGAGAUCAGUGGAUUUUCGCUAAGGAGGAUUUUAGAUUCCUGAUCUAGAACUAAUGCUGCAGGAAGGCUGAGUCCAUGGACA